CGCGGCCUAKCAGCUUGUUGGUGGGGUAAUGGCCUACCAAGGCGACGACGGGUAGCCGACCUGAGAGGGUGAUCGGCCACACUGGGACUGAGACACGGCCCAGACUCCUACGGGAGGCAGCAGUGGGGAAUAUUGCACAAUGGGCGCAAGCCUGAUGCAGCGACGCCGCGUGAGGGAUGACGGCCUUCGGGUUGUAAACCUCUUUCGCCAGGGACGAAGCUUUUGGGUGACGGUACCUGGAGAAGAAGCACCGGCCAACUACGUGCCAGCAGCCGCGGUAAUACGUAGGGUGCGAGCGUUGUCCGGAAUUACUGGGCGUAAAGAGCUCGUAGGCGGUUUGUCGCGUCGUCUGUGAAAUUCUGCAGCUUAACUGUAGGCGUGCAGGCGAUACGGGCAGACUUGAGUACUACAGGGGAGACUGGAAUUCCUGGUGUAGCGGUGAAAUGCGCAGAUAUCAGGAGGAACACCGGUGGCGAAGGCGGGUCUCUGGGUAGUAACUGACGCUGAGGAGCGAAAGCGUGGGUAGCGAACAGGAUUAGAUACCCUGGUAGUCCACGCCGUAAACGGUGGGUACUAGGUGUGGGUUCCUUUUCACGGGAUCCGUGCCGUAGCUAACGCAUUAAGUACCCCGCCUGGGGAGUACGG
Molecule: ribosomal RNA, 645 nt
Filed under: uncultured bacterium
Lineage: Bacteria
Description: bacterial SSU rRNA
Rfam family: Bacterial small subunit ribosomal RNA
Source: RNAcentral